CAUUGGAGGUUAGCAUUUAUCUCUAUACUUUCAACCUCUCUCCCCAGCUCAGCGGUGCUGUCUGUGUUCCACAAGAAGGCACGGCCUCCAGGGAUGAGAACCCGCCAGGCUGGGGCCACGUCGCUGGCAUCUGGAGCCCCUAGACUCUCUUUCCCACCAUCCUCGGGAGACCUUACUCUGCAGAGACUUGCAUAUAUGUGCGCAAAGAGAGCUGAUCCCUGUGGCACCCACAGCCUGGACCAGGAGGCAGCAGCAGGAACAAGCUGGAG
Mus musculus (house mouse) is the source of this 269-nucleotide long non-coding RNA. RefSeq annotates it as predicted gene, 31773. The record is from RefSeq and is a predicted model, not a curated record. The transcript has 3 exons. NCBI's taxonomy places the organism in Eukaryota, Metazoa, Chordata, Mammalia, Rodentia, Muridae.